This 709-nucleotide ribosomal RNA is filed under the name uncultured Providencia sp. Its description in RNAcentral is "bacterial SSU rRNA". It matches the Rfam family "Bacterial small subunit ribosomal RNA", at positions 793 to 1502 of the family's 1533-position model. Lineage: Bacteria; Pseudomonadati; Pseudomonadota; Gammaproteobacteria; Enterobacterales; Morganellaceae. The record is from RNAcentral.
AGUCACGCUGUAAACGAUGUCGAUUUGGAGGUUGUUCCCUGAGGAGUGGCUUCCGGAGCUAACGCGUUAAAUCGACCGCCUGGGGAGUACGGCCGCAAGGUUAAAACUCAAAUGAAUUGACGGGGGCCCGCACAAGCGGUGGAGCAUGUGGUUUAAUUCGAUGCAACGCGAAGAACCUUACCUACUCUUGACAUCCAGAGAAUUUAGCAGAGAUGCUUUAGUGCCUUCGGGAACUCUGAGACAGGUGCUGCAUGGCUGUCGUCAGCUCGUGUUGUGAAAUGUUGGGUUAAGUCCCGCAACGAGCGCAACCCUUAUCCUUUGUUGCCAGCACAUUAUGGUGGGAACUCAAAGGAGACUGCCGGUGAUAAACCGGAGGAAGGUGGGGAUGACGUCAAGUCAUCAUGGCCCUUACGAGUAGGGCUACACACGUGCUACAAUGGCGUAUACAAAGAGAAGCGACCUCGCGAGAGCAAGCGGAACUCAUAAAGUACGUCGUAGUCCGGAUUGGAGUCUGCAACUCGACUCCAUGAAGUCGGAAUCGCUAGUAAUCGUAGAUCAGAAUGCUACGGUGAAUACGUUCCCGGGCCUUGUACACACCGCCCGUCACACCAUGGGAGUGGGUUGCAAAAGAAGUAGGUAGCUUAACCUUCGGGAGGGCGCUUACCACUUUGUGAUUCAUGACUGGGGUGAAGUCGUAACAAGGUAACCA